AUUGAACGCUGGUGGCAGGCCUAACACAUGCAAGUCGAACGGUAGCACAGAGAGCUUGCUCUCGGGUGACGAGUGGCGGACGGGUGAGUAAUGUCUGGGAAACUGCCCGAUGGAGGGGGAUAACUACUGGAAACGGUAGCUAAUACCGCAUAAUGUCGCAAGACCAAAGAGGGGGACCUUCGGGCCUCUUGCCAUCGGAUGUGCCCAGAUGGGAUUAGCUAGUUGGUGAGGUAAUGGCUCACCAAGGCGACGAUCCCUAGCUGGUCUGAGAGGAUGACCAGCCACACUGGAACUGAGACACGGUCCAGACUCCUACGGGAGGCAGCAGUGGGGAAUAUUGCACAAUGGGCGCAAGCCUGAUGCAGCCAUGCCGCGUGUGUGAAGAAGGCCUUCGGGUUGUAAAGCACUUUCAGCGGGGAGGAAGGCAAUACGGUUAAUAACCGUGUUGAUUGACGUUACCCGCAGAAGAAGCACCGGCUAACUCCGUG
RNAcentral lists this ribosomal RNA (488 nucleotides) under uncultured bacterium. RNAcentral's name for it is "partial 16S ribosomal RNA". It matches the Rfam family "Bacterial small subunit ribosomal RNA", at positions 30 to 507 of the family's 1533-position model. The record is from RNAcentral.